This 1363-nucleotide long non-coding RNA is filed under the name Bos indicus x Bos taurus (hybrid cattle). RNAcentral describes it as "lncRNA (ENSBIXG00000000097.1)". The record is from RNAcentral. Lineage: Eukaryota; Metazoa; Chordata; Mammalia; Artiodactyla; Bovidae.
AGCUGGGCAAAGAACCAGGACAGAAAAUAGAACUUGAGGCAGGAAAGAGCUUGCAUAUGUGAGUCUCGGUGAAUCCAGCUGGGGAAGGUGGAGUAAAGCGAGGAGACAGCGGUACAAGCUCGAUGGAGACCCCUCUCACUGGGCUCUCUGGACCUGCGUCAUCAGAGGUGGCUGUAGCCCACACUUUUGCAGCAGAGCUUCUUGACGGAAGUAAUGGUGAUCUCCUUGCACACGCGCUCGUUGGUGUGGAAGUCGUCGCUCAGGCACGUGCAGUUCUCCUCAAUGAUAACCCGGGCCGACUUCGUCACGGUGCUGUGGGAACGCAGCCCACGUAGAGGAAGAAACUGGGGACUGGGAAAUGGAGUGGUCAUGAUUGCCGUUGGCCCUCAACUUCAAGGGUGUGAGUCAACUGCUAGGUGGAUUUUUUCAGUAGUAAACACCACAAUACCAUGUGGUCUGGUGUUGGUAGAGUCUGUGGGUGCUGCGCUGUGGAUACCAGGGCCUUCUAGAAUUUGCAUGCAGAGUUUUGACAGCAUGGGGGGUCGGCACCUCUAAGUUUGGCAGUGUUCAAAGGUCAACUGUAUACAUUUAAAAAACGUGUAGCAGCUCAUUUCAUUGUGCCCUUGAGCUGGAAAGGCUGCCGCAGCCCCUUGCCACCAGUCGUCCUGCACUGGUCAGCCUGAGAACGAGCCAGAGGGCACAGCAGGGUAUGAGGGCAUCGAGGGGCAUGUUUUUGCCUGUCUCUGCAGUUGGAGGGAACAGCUGUUUUGCAGUCGUGGCCAAUGAGAGGGGAAGUGGGCUGUGACCCGACCUGUUGGCAGGGAGUGCCCUACACUCCGGCACCCCGGCUGGUUCUCGAUAUUCUAGGGCCACCUGCGGCUGCUGGUGUUUCCAUUAGCCCAUAUGAGGCCAGAAGUGGCCUGGAGUAGAGGGAGAAGCUUGUGUAUGGGUUAUGAACACCUCUGAGAGGUGUGUGGGUGUCACAUUCUCCCCUCCUUUCAGUCUCAGGGGAGCCCAUCAUUAUUUCAGAAAUAAGGAAAUGUGGAGAAGGUUCAGAAUUUCAGAAAUAAGGAAAUGAGGAGAAGGUGCAGAAUUGGGGUUUUUAAGGGGGCCCUGUGCAAGGAGACUGGGCAUCUUGAGUGACUCCAAGUGGAUGUUCAAACCGACUGAAGGCUUGAAGAGGUGGGGACCAAAGCCGAGUGGGAUUCACCAGACCCUGUGGGUGGACCCUGAGCAGAACAUGGGCACUGGAGCAUCGCUGCACCGAGUCAUAGACCACCAGGCACUGCUCAGACCUCAGGCGCAGCCCACACCAAUGAUCAAAUUAUUUUGGAGGACUCAGAACAUUCAGGAAUCAUUGACA